AGAGUGAACGCUGGCGGCAGGCCUAACACAUGCAAGUCGAGCGGCAGCACAGUCGUAGCAAUACGAUGGGUGGCGAGCGGCGGACGGGUGAGGAAUGCAUCGGAAUCUACCUUGUUGUGGGGGAUAACGUAGGGAAACUUACGCUAAUACCGCAUGAGACCGUAAGGUGAAAGCGGGGGACCUGUGAGGGCCUCGCGCGACAAGAUGAGCCGAUGCCGGAUUAGCUAGUUGGUGGGGUAAAGGCCCACAAGGCGACGAUCCGUAGCUGGUCUGAGAGGAUGAUCAGCCACACUGGAACUGAGACACGGUCCAGACUCCGUACGGAGGCAGCAGUGGGAAUA
RNAcentral lists this ribosomal RNA (341 nucleotides) under uncultured soil bacterium. RNAcentral describes it as "bacterial SSU rRNA". It matches the Rfam family "Bacterial small subunit ribosomal RNA", at positions 26 to 363 of the family's 1533-position model. The record is from RNAcentral.